UACAGAGGUCUCAAGCGUUGUUCGGAUUUAUUGGGCGUAAAGAGCGUGUAGGCGGCUAGGUAGGUCCGUUGUGAAAACUCGAGGCUCAACCUCGAGACGUCGAUGGAAACCAUCUGGCUAGAGUCCGGAAGAGGAGAAUGGAAUUCCUGGUGUAGCGGUGAAAUGCGCAGAUAUCAGGAAGAACACCCGUGGCGAAGGCGGUUCUCUGGGACGGUACUGACGCUGAGACGCGAAAGCGUGGGGAGCGAACAGG
Molecule: ribosomal RNA, 253 nt
Filed under: uncultured bacterium
Lineage: Bacteria
Description: partial 16S ribosomal RNA
Rfam family: Bacterial small subunit ribosomal RNA
Source: RNAcentral